UGUGACAUACCUAUAACUGUUGCUUCGGCGGGUAGGGUCUCCGCGACCCUCCCGGCCUCCCGCCUCCGGGCGGGUCGGCGCCCGCCGGAGGAUAACCAAACUCUGAUUUAACGACGUUUCUUCUGAGUGGUACAAGCAAAUAAUCAAAACUUUUAACAACGGAUCUCUUGGUUCUGGCAUCGAUGAAGAACGCAGCGAAAUGCGAUAAGUAAUGUGAAUUGCAGAAUUCAGUGAAUCAUCGAAUCUUUGAACGCACAUUGCGCCCGCCAGCAUUCUGGCGGGCAUGCCUGUUCGAGCGUCAUUUCAACCCUCAAGCUCUGCUUGGUGUUGGGGCCCUACAGCUGAUGUAGGCCCUCAAAGGUAGUGGCGGACCCUCCCGGAGCCUCCUUUGCGUAGUAACUUUACGUCUCGCACUGGGAUCCGGAGGGACUCUUGCCGUAAAACCCCCCAAUUUUCCAAAGGUUGACCUCGGAUCAGGUAGGAAUACCCGCUGAACUUAAGCAUAUCA
Molecule: ribosomal RNA, 508 nt
Filed under: Colletotrichum gloeosporioides
Lineage: Eukaryota; Fungi; Ascomycota; Sordariomycetes; Glomerellales; Glomerellaceae
Description: eukaryotic LSU rRNA
Rfam family: 5.8S ribosomal RNA (bases 148-301)
Source: RNAcentral